This 460-nucleotide ribosomal RNA is filed under the name uncultured bacterium. Its description in RNAcentral is "partial 16S ribosomal RNA". It matches the Rfam family "Bacterial small subunit ribosomal RNA", at positions 338 to 795 of the family's 1533-position model. The record is from RNAcentral.
CCUACGGGUGGCAGCAGUGAGGAAUAUUGGUCAAUGGGCGCGAGCCUGAACCAGCCAAGUAGCGUGAAGGAUGACUGCCCUACGGGUUGUAAACUUCUUUUAUAAAGGAAUAAAGUGAGGCACGUGUGCCUUUUUGUAUGUACUUUAUGAAUAAGGAUCGGCUAACGCCGUGCCAGCAGCCGCGGUAAUACGGAGGAUCCGAGCGUUAUCCGGAUUUAGUGGGUUUAAAGGGAGCGUGUAUGGGUUGCUAAGUCAGUUGUGAAAGUUUGCGGCUCAACCGUAAAAUUGCAAUUGAUACUGGCAGUCUUGAGUACAGUUGAGGUAGGCUGAAUUCGUGGUGUAGCGGUGAAAUGCUCAGAUAUCACGAAGAACUCCGAGUGCGAAGGCAGCUUACUAAACUGCCACUGACAUUGAUGCUCGAAAGUGUGGGUAUCAAACAGGAUUAGAUACCCGAGUAGUC